RNAcentral lists this transfer RNA (67 nucleotides) under Glycyphana fulvistemma. Its description in RNAcentral is "tRNA-Gly". Lineage: Eukaryota; Metazoa; Arthropoda; Insecta; Coleoptera; Scarabaeidae. The record is from RNAcentral.
UAUCUAUAUAGUAUAAAAAUUAUAAUUGACUUCCAAUCAAUUGAUCUAAAUAAAUUAGUAUAGAUAA